AUGUGACACUUUUCGGAUUUCGAGAUUCAAACAAGUCUAACUUUGACCAUUAAAUUUUCAUAGAUUCUUUUAAACUAUUUUGAAUUAUCAAUUGUUGUGACUUAUAGUACUUUUUACGUAGUUUACAAAUAUAUAAAUUUCAUUUCAAAAAAAUUGAAGAUUUCAUGCGCAAAUUCCUGGUCAAACUUAAACUGUUUGACUCUUGAAAAACGAAAAGUGCCACAUAA
RNAcentral lists this microRNA precursor (227 nucleotides) under Solanum tuberosum (potato). RNAcentral's name for it is "MIR8007 microRNA precursor family". It matches the Rfam family "MIR8007 microRNA precursor family". Lineage: Eukaryota; Viridiplantae; Streptophyta; Magnoliopsida; Solanales; Solanaceae. The record is from Rfam by way of RNAcentral.